Molecule: transfer-messenger RNA, 362 nt
Filed under: Nitrospinaceae
Lineage: Bacteria; Pseudomonadati; Nitrospinota; Nitrospinia; Nitrospinales
Also listed under: 2 other names
Description: SMVS01 sp004357435 Standard tmRNA
Rfam family: transfer-messenger RNA
About the family: Bacterial tmRNA, also known as 10Sa RNA or SsrA, is named for its dual tRNA and mRNA-like properties.
Source: RNAcentral
GGGGGCGAUCUGGAUUCGACGGGAGUGUAGAGACCAAGGUUGCAUGCACGGGAUGCCGUUGGCCCGUAAAAAAACGGCACCAUACAUAAUCGCCAAUGAUUAUGAAGUAGCUGUAGCCGCGUAAACUCGUUUUACCUGGUUACCGUUCCCUAGACUUUCGUUUGUGAGGUUUAGAAGAACGUCAUUUUAGCAAACGAGCUUUGUGCCCAGUGUCUCGGGGGUACGAGGUGUGGGAGAGGCUGGUCUGGGUGCAAUCCUGCCCGCGGGAGUAGCCCAGACGAGACCCAAAGCGCGGGAUAAGCAUGUAGACGCCUUACGUCAAAAACUUUCGGACGGGGGUUCAAUUCCCCCCGCCUCCACCA